RNAcentral lists this ribosomal RNA (242 nucleotides) under uncultured bacterium. Its description in RNAcentral is "partial 16S ribosomal RNA". It matches the Rfam family "Bacterial small subunit ribosomal RNA", at positions 65 to 334 of the family's 1533-position model. The record is from RNAcentral.
AACGGACCCUUCGGGGUUAGUGGCGGACGGGUGAGUAACACGUGGGAACGUGCCUUUAGGUUCGGAAUAGCUCCUGGAAACGGGUGGUAAUGCCGAAUGUGCCCUUCGGGGGAAAGAUUUAUCGCCUUUAGAGCGGCCCCGCGUCUGAUUAGCUAGUUGGUGAGGUAACGGCUCACCAAGGCGACGAUCAGUAGCUGGUCUGAGAGGAUGACCAGCCACACUGGGACUGAGACACGGCCCAG